RNAcentral lists this transfer RNA (68 nucleotides) under Epicalotermes aethiopicus. RNAcentral's name for it is "tRNA-Val". The record is from RNAcentral. Lineage: Eukaryota; Metazoa; Arthropoda; Insecta; Blattodea; Kalotermitidae.
CAGGCUUUACCUGUAGUUGGGAUUUCAUUUACACUGAAGGUUUUACCGUGCGAUUCGGUGUUGUCUGG